CGGGGAGCACCACAACAGGUGGAGCCUGCGGUUUAAUCGGACUCAACGCCGGGAAACUCACCAGAUAAGACAGCUGAAUGAUAGUCGGGCUGAAGACUCUACUUGACUAGCUGAGAGGAGGUGCAUGGCCGUCGUCAGUUCGUACUGUGAAGCAUCCUGUUAAGUCAGGCAACGAGCGAGACCCACGCCAACAGUUGCCAGCUCGUCCUCCGGGAUGGUGGGGACACUGUUGGGACCGCCUCUGCUAAAGAGGAGGAAGGAAUGGGCAACGGUAGGUCAGCAUGCCCCGAAUUAUCUGGGCUACACGCGGGCUACAAUGGGUGGGACAAUGGGUAUCGACACCGAAAGGUGAAGGCAAUCUCCUAAACCCAUCCGUAGUUCGGAUUGUGGGCUGCAACUCGCCCACAUGAAGCUGGAAUCUGUAGUAAUCGUGUCUCAAAAUGGCACGGUGAAUAUGUCCCUGCUCCUU
This 469-nucleotide ribosomal RNA is filed under the name uncultured Methanomicrobiales archaeon. RNAcentral's name for it is "bacterial SSU rRNA". It matches the Rfam family "Archaeal small subunit ribosomal RNA", at positions 871 to 1337 of the family's 1478-position model. Lineage: Archaea; Methanobacteriati; Methanobacteriota; Methanomicrobia; Methanomicrobiales. The record is from RNAcentral.